Molecule: ribosomal RNA, 546 nt
Filed under: uncultured bacterium
Lineage: Bacteria
Description: bacterial SSU rRNA
Rfam family: Bacterial small subunit ribosomal RNA
Source: RNAcentral
ACCCAAUAGAUACCCGGGUAGUCCACGCCCUAAACGAUGCAGACUAGACUGCAGCGGGUUACACCCCGUUGCGGUCGGAGCGAAAAUUAGUUAAGUCUGCCACCUGGGAAGUACGGUCGCAAGGCUAAAACUACAAAGGAAUUGACGGGGGCGUCACACAAGCGGUGGAGCAUGUGGCUCAAUUCGAAGCAACGCGAAGAACCUUAUCCUGGACUUGACAUGGUAGAAGUAGGACCCAGAAAUGGUUACGACCGGUAUCCAAUCCGGAACUAUCACAGGUGCUGCAUGGCUGUCGUCAGCUCGUGCUGUGAAGUGUCGGGUUAAGUCCCAUAACGAGCGAAACCCGUUAUCGUUAGUUGCCAGCAUGUAAUGGUGGGCACUCUAACGAGACUGCCGGUGUUAAACCCGGAGGAAGGCGGGGUAUGACGUCAAGUCCUCAUGGCCUUUAUGUCCAGGGUCUGCACACGUGCUACAAUGCGGCUGACAAACCGAGCAAGACCGUAAGGUGGAGCAAAUCGGAGAAAAACGCCGCCCAGUUCAGAUUGA